This 122-nucleotide ribosomal RNA is filed under the name Aethionema arabicum. The record is from RNAcentral. Lineage: Eukaryota; Viridiplantae; Streptophyta; Magnoliopsida; Brassicales; Brassicaceae.
GGGUGCGGUCAUACCAGUACUACUGCACCGGAACACAUCAGAACUCCGUAGCUAAGCGUGCUUGGGCGAGAGUAGUACUAGGAUAGGUGACCUCCUGGGAAGUCCUCGUGUUGCAACCCCUG